This 126-nucleotide microRNA precursor is filed under the name Myotis lucifugus (little brown bat). Its description in RNAcentral is "mir-9193 microRNA precursor family". The record is from Rfam by way of RNAcentral. Lineage: Eukaryota; Metazoa; Chordata; Mammalia; Chiroptera; Vespertilionidae.
UGUGCACCAGUGGGGUCCCUCGGCCUGGCCUGUGCCCUCUCGCAAUCUGGGACCCCUCGGAGGAUGUCGGAGAGCCGAUUUCAGCCCGAUCCCGCAGGCCAGGCUGAGGGACUCCACUGGUGCACA